UGGCUACAGAUCUGGCUUGCAGACGCAGGCACUGAGUCAAUGGGAUGGAAUAGAUCUUUCCACUUUGUAUCUUUUUAUACUUUUUGAGUUUUCAUAUAUGGUAAUAUAUUAUUUAUUUUUUAAAUUAUUUUUAAUAAAGAAAGAAGGGGAGAGGAGUGGGAGGAGAAAACAGAAAAGCAACAGCAAAAUCUCAUAUAUUUGGGCAGCAUCAAAUUCCAAAUUGUGUUCACUUUCUAACAGCCUGUUAAAGCAUAAGGUACCUGAGAUAUCCUCACUACAACCAAUCCAUGACCAGAUGUUUGUUCAUUUAGGUGACCCUGUACUGCUUCUUAAUACAGCCUAGGAGGGCACAAAGGAAGGUAGAAUGAGCAUGCAGAGGGAACCAGGCUGCAAAGAUGCAACCCAGAACUAAGAAAAGCCAACUGAAGACAACUGAUGAUAAAUACAAGGAGUGUUCUCUGGCAUUGCCUCAGUCUUGCAUCAUUUCUUUUUCCUCAACAGCUGGUAAGAAUUCAGUAAGUAAAAAUGAACUGGCCACAGGUUGGCUUUGUUCUAUUAAUUGUACACAACACUCUUAGAUCAUGGUCAUUUUAAUCAUGGGCCAUAGAGUUUUCAGAGCAACAGAAGUCACUUGGAAUUGGUUACACAGAGAAAUACCUUCUCCCUCAAGAUUUCUGCUCAUCUUCCUGGCUAUCAAAGAAAACGUUUCAAAU
RNAcentral lists this long non-coding RNA (713 nucleotides) under Homo sapiens (human). RNAcentral describes it as "HSALNT0079125". The record is from RNAcentral. Lineage: Eukaryota; Metazoa; Chordata; Mammalia; Primates; Hominidae.